GUCUACGGCCAUGACACCCUGAAUGUGCCCGUCUUGUCUGACCUCAGAAACUAAGCAGGGUCAGACCUGGUUAGUACUUGGAUGGGAGACCACCUAGGAAUACCAGCUGCCGUAGGUG
Molecule: ribosomal RNA, 118 nt
Filed under: Pteropus alecto (black flying fox)
Lineage: Eukaryota; Metazoa; Chordata; Mammalia; Chiroptera; Pteropodidae
Also listed under: 1 other name
Source: RNAcentral